CGUUUGUGUUACGUCACUUCCAGGCGGCCCAAGAUGGAGGCCGGGCCGAGCGAGCGAGACCCGUUCCUACGGCUCCGGCGCCACUUGCGGCAGGAGGUGGAGUCGGGCGCACUGCUGCAGCCCCCUCAGGACGGCGGCGGUGCGGCCGAAGAAUCUACAGCACUAGAGAAAAAAGAGAAGCCUCUUCCCAGACUUAACAUUCACUCUGCAUUCUGGAUUUUAGCAUCCAUUGCUGUGACUUACUAUUUUGAAUUUUUUAAAACCGUUAAAGAGACCAUUCAGGCAGAUAGUUGGUCAUUUGUCAUUGGUAGCUGUUUGUUGGCUGCAAGUUUAUCUCUUGCUUUUUACUGCAUAUUAUAUCUUGAAUGGUACUGUAGAAUUGAAGACUACGAUGCCAAAUAUCCAGUAUUGAUACCUGUCACAACUGCAACUUUUAUUGCAGCAGCAAUUUGUUUCAACAUUGCAUUAUGGCCCGUUUGGUCAUUUCUCACCCCUGUGUUGCUGUUCACUCAAUUUAUGGGAGUUGUGAUGCUUAUAUCACUCCUGGGUUAGGUCCAUUAAGGAGAGAAACAAUACAGUUGAGCCAGGGUUGAAAUUAAUAGCAGGUGUCAAGAAGUCUGCCUCUACAAGGAAGUAACUAACUUGGUUCAACUUUAACAGCUGUAGGUUCUUUGUGGACUUUGACUUGCAACAUUCUAUUUCAAACUUCUUUAAGAUUCUAUUUUGCAUUUGCAAAAUGUGAAUCAAUUCAGAAUUCAUGCCUGAUCCAUCCAUGCCUAGCUGCCUUGCAACCAAAUAUUGCAGGGGGAACUGGUAUGCAGGUAGUGGUGCAUUCUCACAAAUUGGAUGAUUGGUAAUAUUUGUUACUUUAAUUUUAGAUAUUGUACUUAAUAACUCAGUUGUAAAAGUAAUCUUGUGAUGAAUGGUAAUUCUGAACCCUUUUAAACAUUUAAAUGUAAGGAGGUGAGUUUGGCUGAACUUCAGUAUAGUUUCUCUUCCUGUAUAUCUGCUAAAUUAUUGAUAUGUGGAAUCUGAUAAACCAUUGAUUCUGAAGUAGUAAUAUAAACUUACAAUAUUCCAUAUGUUAAAAUGCAUUAAAAGAAAGGUUCUAAACUGUUACCUAAUAAUUUACUGGGCCUACUUUAAUUUCUGAUGAAAUCAUGAGCUAUAGCUGAGGUUCCUGGAUCUGAGAGGGGCCUCCAGAGUAGUUUGAAGUUUGAUGUACUGAUAACUGGAAUAAAUUGGCUCAAAAGAGUGAGUGUCAUCAGAAAAUCAUGCUGUGCUCUCAUAAUUCUUCAUGACCAAAUGUAGUGACUCCAUGACCAGCUUCUGCCAGCACUGUGACAAAAGCAAGUGGCAGCAGAAAGUUCAGUUUAAAAAUUGAUAUGCGUUCAUAUUUCCCCAAUAAAAGCUUAGCAUACUGCUUCUUGGAAAAACAUCUUUAUUUAAAAAAAAACAUAUGCAACUUAUUCUGGGAUCUUUGCUUUUUGGAUAUAAGUAAUGGAAAACUAUAUUGUACUCUGAUAUUAAACAUUACCAGUUAGUUCAUUUUGUGUAUGGAAAUGAAAGCUUCUUGUUGCUGUCCCCCCCCCCCCCAGCUUUUUUUUGCUCUUAAUAAUAGAGAGGAACAUUUCAGUAUUUUCUAAUGGAAAAACUGCACAGUGUUUAGUCACCAGGCUGUCGGGUAAAGAGCUCUGGGCCAGAUCCAAAACCAAGAGACUUAAGUGCCUUAAGCAGGACUUGGGCAUCUAAAGUCUGCCUCACUCCAAAAGUAAACGGGGGAGGAGGGAGAGCCUGCUUUAGCAGCUGCCAAACCUUGAAAUAACCUGUAAUUCAAUAGGUACCUCUCUGCUCAAUCUGAAAACUCUCUAGCCACACAUGGCUUUGCUUCUGCAUAUGCCCCAUGACCAAAAUGGUAUACAAUAUAGUGGUUAGAAUAUGGUUUUGGAAAGUGGCAGGUAUGGAUAUAAAUCCCCUCAAAUUAGAGGGAAUUUAACUGACAUAAUCUGUUACUAGAUGAGUGCUCUAACUACUACACUGUUGUAUACAAGAUGUUCACAAUUGUUUAAAAAGUGACCAACAGCUGCAAAACAGCUUUAUUCUACCUUUCAUAAUAUAUAGCAUAAGGAGCUUCACCACCAGUCUCUGUGAUUUGGGAUUCUGCUCUGCACUGGGCACCAAAAACUAAGUUUUUGCAGUUGUUGGUAAGUCUUUUUUGGCCUCCAAUCUAAAAUACCACCAAAACUAGUCAUUUUAAAACUUUGUCAACAAGUGUAGAAGAGUCUCAAUAGAGGAUGCUGAAUCAGUUUAUCUGGAUGCAUAAACAACUCCAUUUAUGAGGUCAUUAUUAGCGGUAGAUCCACAAUACAUGUAAUGCUUGGCAAAUAUCUAUAUGGAUGAAACUGAUAUGCAUAAAGGAAACAGACUGUAUAGAUAUAUAGACUAUGCAUUAAGCUAAUAAAGUAAAUGUUAGUCAAGCUGUCAACUUAAUUUUACUUUUUAGAUUCAAGUAAAAUGUUUAUUCUCACAAAAUCUUACAAGGGAGAAUUUUCAUACAUACAUUUUCACUUUCUUUUAACAGCUACCACAAUACCAUGUUCAUAUCUAUGUAAAUUCAAAAUAAAUGUUGUUUAUCCUGAUAUUUCAAAUGUAUUAUUCAAAUGUAUUAUUGUUCAGGGAUAAUAGUUCUUGCCAUUGUACACAUUAACCAGAUAAAUGUUUACGUUACUUUAAAUUGUUUUUAAUUAUUUUCUGAUUUGGCAUUACUAUUUGGUACCUGCUUAAUUUUCCAAAGCUUUUUUGACUGAAUAUUUUUAAUAAAGUUUCUUUAUAUACAGAAA
RNA transcript from Alligator mississippiensis (American alligator), 2840 nucleotides. It is a transcript of the gene named transmembrane protein 128, with no coding region annotated. The transcript is spliced from 6 exons. Lineage: Eukaryota; Metazoa; Chordata; Crocodylia; Alligatoridae. The record is from RefSeq and is a predicted model, not a curated record.